This 898-nucleotide long non-coding RNA is filed under the name Glycine max (soybean). RNAcentral describes it as "long non-coding RNA (GMAX_LNC001056)". The record is from RNAcentral. Lineage: Eukaryota; Viridiplantae; Streptophyta; Magnoliopsida; Fabales; Fabaceae.
CUUGCUUUAUUGUUGUACAAUGGGUAACAUUUUGCUCCUUCAAUGCCACAAUUCUUUGAUUUGAUUAUUAACUUUAUCAUAUCACCAAUAAUAAUCUUCUCAUUUAUAGUCAGUCGAUCAACAUAUGGAUGUCUAACUAAUAACUUAGCUAAUGCAUGAUUAUGACUCUCACGUAUUAACUUCUUCAUCCAUCCUUCACCUCCCAACACGGGUUUCACUUGCAGCUUAAAGAGACACCCACAUUUUCUAUUUUCAGCAAAGUACUAAAUCUUUCUUGUAUGUCGUAUAUUUUCUACUACUCUCACAACCAAUUAAAACAUAUGAGAUCCUUCCUCUAUUUUCAGUAUGUGUCUGACCUCAUUAUCACCACCACAAAAUCAGUAUCAUACACAACAGAGCGAGCCCGAUGCAAAACGUCAUCAAGGUAGCAAACACCUACAAAAGGGAUAAUACAUGUUUAGUCUUCAAGAGACAUUCAUUUUCUUACUUUAACAAAAUACAAAAUCAUGUCAAUGCAUGAGAAGUAUUGAAGACAUCAGAACAAUCAAUAUUUUCAAGCAUACUAGGUUCCUUUUCAUUGUCUCCAUUCAUAUUAAUUUCUUCAAACAUUAUUCUAUUAUAUAUCUAGUGAUCUUCGUUCAUCUUAACAAAAUAUUAAAAAAAAAAAAUCAAUGACAAACAUAUGAUCCUUAAUGACACCAUACAUAAUUCUAAUUAUUUAUAAAUAAAUCUAUUUAUUUUAAAAAACUUCCAUGUUAAAUUUUUUUAAUACCUUCUACACUACAUAAGUAUGUCAAUAUAUCAAUAAAUAUGUUUUUUAACAUAUAGUAUCACACAAUUUUAUUAUUUUUUACUGCAUAUACUAAUAUAUUAUAUUGAAAUUGAUAAUCACAUAUAU